GACGAACGCUGGCGGCGUGCUUAACACAUGCAAGUCGAACGGAAAGGCCCUGCUUUUGUGGGGUGCUCGAGUGGCGAACGGGUGAGUAACACGUGAGUAACCUGCCCUUGACUUUAGGAUAACUUCAGGAAACUGGGGCUAAUACCGGAUAGGAUCUCCUGCUGCAUGGUGGGGGUUGGAAAGUUUCGGCGGUUGGGGAUGGACUCGCGGCUUGUCAGCUUGUUGGUUGGGUAGUGGCUUACCAAGGCUUUGACGGGUAGCCGGCCUGAGAGGGUGACCGGACACGUUGGGACUGAGAUGCGGCCCAGCCUCGUACGGGAGGCAGCAGUGGGGAAUAUUGCACAAUGGGAGGAAGGCUGAUGCGACAACGCCGCGUGCGGGAUGACGGCCUUCGGGUUGUAAACCGCUUUCGCCUGUGACGAAGCGUGAGUGACGGUAAUGGGUAAAGAAGCACCGGCUAACUACGUG
RNAcentral lists this ribosomal RNA (468 nucleotides) under uncultured bacterium. RNAcentral describes it as "partial 16S ribosomal RNA". It matches the Rfam family "Bacterial small subunit ribosomal RNA", at positions 28 to 507 of the family's 1533-position model. The record is from RNAcentral.